Molecule: unclassified non-coding RNA, 295 nt
Filed under: uncultured fungus
Lineage: Eukaryota; Fungi
Description: partial contains small subunit ribosomal RNA, internal transcribed spacer 1, and 5.8S ribosomal RNA
Rfam family: Eukaryotic small subunit ribosomal RNA (bases 1-73)
Source: RNAcentral
GCAAACUUGGUCAUUUAGAGGAAGUAAAAGUCGUAACAAGGUUUCCGUAGGUGAACCUGCGGAAGGAUCAUUACCGAGUGAGGGCCCUCUGGGUCCAACCUCCCACCCGUGUUUAUCGUACCUUGUUGCUUCGGCGGGCCCGCCGCCAGGCCGCCGGGGGGCUUCCGUCCCCGGGUCCGCGCCCGCCGAAGACACCUGUGAACGCUGUAUGAAGAUUGCAGUCUGAGCGAAAAGCUAAAUCGUUAAAACUUUCAACAACGGAUCUCUUGGUUCCGGCAUCGAUGAAGAACGCAGC